AGUGAACGCUGGCGGUAGGCCUAACACAUGCAAGUCGAACGGCAGCACAGUAAGAGCUUGCUCUUACGGGUGGCGAGUGGCGGACGGGUGAGGAAUACAUCGGAAUCUACUUUUUCGUGGGGGAUAACGUAGGGAAACUUACGCUAAUACCGCAUACGACCUACGGGUGAAAGCAGGGGAUCUUCGGCCUUUGCGGGUUUGAUUGAGCCGAUGUCGGAUUAGCUAGUUGGCGGGGUAAAGGCCCACCAAGGCGACGAUCCGUAGCUGGUCUGAGAGGAUGAUCAGCCACACUGGAACUGAGACACGGUCCAGACUCCUACGGGAGGCAGCAGUGGGGAAUAUUGGACAAUGGGCGCAAGCCUGAUCCAGCCAUACCGCGUGGGUGAAGAAGGCCUUCGGGUUGUAAAGCCCUUUUGUUGGGAAAGAAAAGCAGCAGGUUAAUACCCCGCUGUUCUGACGGUACCCAAAGAAUAAGCACCGGCUAACUUCGUG
Molecule: ribosomal RNA, 492 nt
Filed under: uncultured bacterium
Lineage: Bacteria
Description: partial 16S ribosomal RNA
Rfam family: Bacterial small subunit ribosomal RNA
Source: RNAcentral